UAAACGACGUGAGGAACCUGCCUCAAAGAGGGGGACAACAGUUGGAAACGACUGCUAAUACCGCAUAAGCCCACAGCUCGGCAUCGAGCAGAGGGAAAAGGAGCAAUCCGCUUUGAGAUGGCCUCGCGUCCGAUUAGCUAGUUGGUGAGGUAACGGCCCACCAAGGCGACGAUCGGUAGCCGGACUGAGAGGUUGAACGGCCACAUUGGGACUGAGACACGGCCCAG
RNAcentral lists this ribosomal RNA (227 nucleotides) under uncultured bacterium. RNAcentral's name for it is "partial 16S ribosomal RNA". It matches the Rfam family "Bacterial small subunit ribosomal RNA", at positions 109 to 334 of the family's 1533-position model. The record is from RNAcentral.